UUCGGUUCGGGAGAUUUGCCCAGCCCUAGAUACAAGGCCCAAUGGAGCCUUUUUACAAAUAAUCUCUCAUGGAUUUAUUGGUGCUGUACUUUUUUUUUUUUUUUUUUUUGGCAAGAACGACUUAUGAUAGAAUAUUUCUUGCUUAACUUGACGAAAUAGGUGGAAUAGCUAUCCCAAUGCCAAAAAUAUCCACAAUAUUCAGUAGCUUUUCGAUGUUCUUCCUUGCAUUACCAGAUAUCAGUGGUUUUGUUGCCAAAUUAAUAAUAUUUUGGGACUAAUCAACAAUCAAAAGUACCUUUUAAUUCCAAAAAUACUAAUUACUUUUGUAAUGGCAAUUGGAAUGAUAUUAACUCCUAUUCAUUCAUUUAUUUAUUUACUUAUAUUACUUGAUAUAUUAAUAUAAAAUUAUUCUACUUUUAAUGAAUAAUUGAAUUUC
This 436-nucleotide long non-coding RNA is filed under the name Olea europaea subsp. europaea. Lineage: Eukaryota; Viridiplantae; Streptophyta; Magnoliopsida; Lamiales; Oleaceae. The record is from RNAcentral.